AAUAUUGCGCAAUGGAGGGAACUCUGACGCAUCGUCGCCGCGCGAGCGAUGAAGGUUUUCGGAUCGUAAAGUUCUGUCCUUGGGGAAGAAGGUCUUCGGACUUGACGGGACGUAAGGAGGAAGUCCCGGCUAACUACGAGCCAGCAGCCGCGGUAAUACGUAGGGGGCAAGCGUUGUCCGGAAUUAUUGGGCGUAAAGGGUGCGUAGGCGGCCUUUUAAGUCAGGUGUGAAAGCCCACGGCUUAACCGUGGGAUUGCAUUUGAAACUGGAAGGCUUGAGUAUCGGAGAGGGUAGUGGAAUUCCCAGUGUAGCGGUGGAAUGCGUAGAUAUUGGGAGGAACACCAGUGGCGAAGGCGACUACCUGGACGAAAACUGACGCUGAGGCACGAAAGCUAGGGGAGCAAAC
This 406-nucleotide ribosomal RNA is filed under the name uncultured bacterium. RNAcentral describes it as "partial 16S ribosomal RNA". It matches the Rfam family "Bacterial small subunit ribosomal RNA", at positions 360 to 773 of the family's 1533-position model. The record is from RNAcentral.